UGCCAGCAGCCGCGGUAAUACGAAGGGAACUAGCGUUGUUCGGAAUUACUGGGCGUAAAGCGCGUGUAGGCUGAUCAGUCAGUCAGGGGUGAAAUCCCGGGGCUCAACCCCGGAACUGCCUUUGAUACUGCUGAUCUGGAGUCCGGUAGAGGUGAGUGGAAUUCCGAGUGUAGAGGUGAAAUUCGUAGAUAUUCGGAGGAACACCAGUGGCGAAGGCGGCUCACUGGACCGGUACUGACGCUGAGACGCGAAAGUGUGGGGAGCAAACAGGAUUAGAUA
This 279-nucleotide ribosomal RNA is filed under the name uncultured bacterium. RNAcentral's name for it is "partial 16S ribosomal RNA". It matches the Rfam family "Bacterial small subunit ribosomal RNA", at positions 506 to 784 of the family's 1533-position model. The record is from RNAcentral.